UCCGCCCCCGCCCCACGCGCCGGCGGCGCGGACCUCCUUGUCAAUGGGAGCGCGGGGCCGGGCUGCCCGCAGGACGGUCAGGUGGGCCCCCCAGCUCGCUGCCAGCGCGGCCUCUGUCCCUCUCGGGCCGGCUCUCCAUCUUGUCGCCCGUAGCCCGCCUUCUCCGUGGCUCUCCAGCCGCUGGGGCCGCAGAGCCGAGGCCGGGUUACCUCAGGAAACGCGAUGUGGUAGUGGGUCGGAAUAAACCCGCGCGCCCCAGAAUUCGCCUUGGGGGCGUAAGGACAGAUUCGGACUUUUCGUUUCCUAUGUCCACAUUUAUUGAGCACCUAAUAUGUGACACCCGAGGCUGUAAGAAGAGGAACGCAGCGGGCGGAGAAAAGCCAGAGCUUUUUCUCUGUGAGCCGCUGCCUCCAGGGCCAUAGCCGACCCUGCUCCGAGAUCCCAGCCGCCGCUCUCCGUGCAGGAGGGGUGCCCACCCUGGGGAGGCCAGGGUGCCCGGAGUGGAGGGACAGGGCUUCAAGCGACCGGGAGUUUCCAGCAAACCCCUGAUCCCUGAGCAGUUUAUUUUAAAAGCUUUUGCAAAUGUUGGACGGUUUCGUUUGGUGGAGGCCGUCUUUGCACUAAAUUCUCCUGUCCUCCCCCUUCGAAACGCACAAAAUGAAUUUUGAACAGAUUUUGGAUGAGAGGUUUUCUUCCUUUUUUCAUCUUCUGAAACAUUUCCCCCUCAUUUCUUCUCAGAUAAAGACCCAGAAACCCGGGACAGUUACUCGGUGUACAGCUAGUCAAAUACUGAGGAAACCAGUCGAUAUUUGCCAAAGAUUGGGCAUGUUCUGGGUGGUCUCAGAUUUUGAAGAAACGACUUUUUUACUGCACAAAAUAGUUUUACAAUCAGUUCCAUCAGACAGCCCCAGGGGCUCUCCUAGGGAAAGGGGCCAAUAGGCAAGGUUGCAUGGGGAUAAGAGAGGCAAGCGGCCAGUGGAAAACGGUUUUUUGUUUUUUUUUUCCUAACAGUUGGGCAUUUCUGUAGCUCUGAAAGCAAACUUGUUUGUUUCAUUUCAACGAUAGAAAAAAAACACUCCUGUUUUGGAAAUGUAACCCAGCAUAAAAAUACAUUUGCAAUGGGGAAAAAGAAAGCAGUUUAGGGCCACCCAGAAGAAAAUAUUUUUUCCCUGAUUUUUUUUUAAUUUGGUAUUUCCCAGUGUGGGUUUGCCUCAUUUUACAAAUAGCUGCCCAUGUCAAGAUGUGGGUAUGUGAUUUAAAUAUUUUAAUUUGAAUCACAUUUUACAUAGUCUAGGAAACUGACAAAAGAAUCCUAUAGAGAAUUGUUUUAUAAAGUGAAUAACUGCUUCUCUACCUACCCGCCCCUCUCAUUCUUCUUUUCUGUGCGUGUUUUUGGGGGGCUGUUAUGGGAUAAAUCUUGUUUGGCUUAAAAAUCACUAAAACGCAGCCUUUCAAAUCCAAAACAGAGAGCUUAGGUACCCAACAUUCUAUAGAAUGUAUUAUUUCCUCAAGAGGUUGCUAGGAACAGUUAUGUAGAUCUACCAGGUGCAGGGAAGCACUCCACACCCUCACCCAGGUCCUGUAUCCCUGCAAGACUGCGUUGGAAAGACUGAAGAGGCAUUGCUGUGCUGGGAAGGAAUGCUUAAACCUGCCACAGCCAUGUUGUGAUUAUGAAGGGAGCCAACCUGAGGACAAAUCACAUUUUCUGAGGAUGGCAAAGCAAACAGAUGCAAAGAUCCUGGGUCUUUGAUGGCAUUGUGGAGUUGCUGGACAGCUUCCCUACUUUUCACGUUCCUAUGACACAAUGUUAUCAUCGUCCUUGUUGUAUCAGCCAGGAGCUGACAAGCCAUAGCAGGACGGCUAUCCCCUGAGAGAUAGGAGAGGAGGAGAAACAGCCUGACAGGGGCCUGGAGCAGCUGGCUGGCGUCAGUAAUUUCCUGCAGGAGACUCUGCUGGCCGAGCACACAUCACCCUUCUGUUGCUCCUCUGUAUUCUCCCUUGUGCUACUAAAAUACGCUAAUGUAACUCCUGGGCUGUGCUAAGCUAAAUGCAGUUAUUUAACCUCAUUUCUAUGGAACCCAGGUCUAAAGCAGCAACAUCUAUUUGGAACAAGAUGGGGAGGAGCAAGAGUGAAUUCAUGCUCUUCUUCAUGGAGGUGGAUGUUUCUGGAAGGAGGUUUGUGAUGUCCUUUGCAGGGACAUGGAUGGAGUUGGAAGCCCUUAUCCUCAGCAAACUAAUGCAGGAACAGAAAACCAAACACUGCAUGUUCUUACUUAUAAGUGGGAACUGAAUGAUGAGAACACAUGGACACAUAAGGGGAAAUGACACACACUGGGGCCUGUCAGAGCUGAGGGGUUGUGGGGAGAGGGAGAGAAUCAGGAAUAAUGGCUAAUGUAUGCUGUGCUUAAUAUCUAGGUGAUGGGAUGAUCUGUGCAGCAAACCACCAUGGCACACGUUUACCUAUGUAACAAACCUGGACAUCCUGCACAUGUAUCCUGG
Molecule: long non-coding RNA, 2499 nt
Organism: Homo sapiens (human)
Lineage: Eukaryota; Metazoa; Chordata; Mammalia; Primates; Hominidae
Gene: GNAO1-DT
Product: GNAO1 divergent transcript
Source: Ensembl